Molecule: ribosomal RNA, 400 nt
Filed under: uncultured bacterium
Lineage: Bacteria
Description: bacterial SSU rRNA
Rfam family: Bacterial small subunit ribosomal RNA
Source: RNAcentral
UGGGGAAUAUUGGGCAAUGGGCGCAAGCCUGACCCAGCCAUGCCGCGUGAGUGAUGAAGGCCUUAGGGUUGUAAAGCUCUUUUAGUGGGGAAGAUGAUGACGGUACCCACAGAAUAAGCUCCGGCUAACUUCGUGCCAGCAGCCGCGGUAAUACGAAGGGAGCAAGCGUUACUCGGAUUUACUGGGCGUAAAGGGCGUGUAGGCGGCUUGGUCAGUCAGAUGUGAAAGCCCUGGGCUUAACCCGGGAACUGCAUUUGAUACUGCCAAGCUUGAGUAUAAGAGAGGUAAGCGGAAUUUCCAGUGUAGCAGUGAAAUGCGUAGAUAUUGGAAGGAACACCGAUGGCGAAGGCAGCUUACUGGCUUAUAACUGACGCUGAGGCGCGAAAGCGUGGGGAGCAAA